UACGUAGGGUGCGAGCGUUGUCCGGAACUAUUGGGCGUAAAGAGCUCGUAGGCGGUGUGUCACGUCGGCCGUGAAAACCUGCAGCUUAACUGUGGGCGUGCGGUCGAUACGGGCAUCACUGGAGUUCGGCAGGGGAGACUGGAAUUCCUGGUGUAGCGGUGAAAUGCGCAGAUAUCAGGAGGAACACCGGUGGCGAAGGCGGGUCUCUGGGCCGAUACUGACGCUGAGGCGCGAAAGCGUGGGGAGCAAACAGG
Molecule: ribosomal RNA, 254 nt
Filed under: uncultured bacterium
Lineage: Bacteria
Description: partial 16S ribosomal RNA
Rfam family: Bacterial small subunit ribosomal RNA
Source: RNAcentral